RNAcentral lists this long non-coding RNA (200 nucleotides) under Homo sapiens (human). RNAcentral describes it as "HSALNT0074349". Lineage: Eukaryota; Metazoa; Chordata; Mammalia; Primates; Hominidae. The record is from RNAcentral.
CUCUUAAACCAUAGCUCCUACCAGUUUUACAGUGCUCCUUUUGUAUCUGAACUUUUAUCAAGAAUUACUCAUUGUGUUAUGAUUACAAAGCUUUUUCUAGGAGCUACUAACAAUUUUAUUACAAUCCAGAAGAAAUAUGGUCUACUAGAAAGCUUCUACUAAUCACAACACUUAUGUCUUCCUUUCAGGACAGUCUUCAG